AAUCAACGCUGGCGGCGUGCCUAACACAUGCAAGUCGAACGAGAAAGUGGAGCAAUCCAUGAGUACAGUGGCGCACGGGUGAGUAACACGUGACUAACCUACCCUUGAGUGGGGAAUAACUUCGGGAAACCGAGGCUAAUACCGCAUAACACCUACGGGUCAAAGGAGCAAUUCGCUCGAGGAGGGGGUCGCGGCCGAUUAGUUAGUUGGCGGGGUAAUGGCCCACCAAGACGAUGANCGGUAUCCGGCCUGAGAGGGCGCACGGACACACUGGAACUGAAACACGGGCCAGACUCCUACGGGAGGCAGCAGGUGGGGAAUCUUGCACAAUGGGGGCAACCCUGAUGCAGCGACGCCGCGUGAGUGAUGAA
This 371-nucleotide ribosomal RNA is filed under the name uncultured bacterium. RNAcentral's name for it is "bacterial SSU rRNA". It matches the Rfam family "Bacterial small subunit ribosomal RNA", at positions 32 to 412 of the family's 1533-position model. The record is from RNAcentral.